RNAcentral lists this long non-coding RNA (295 nucleotides) under Mytilus galloprovincialis (Mediterranean mussel). Lineage: Eukaryota; Metazoa; Mollusca; Bivalvia; Mytilida; Mytilidae. The record is from RNAcentral.
AAAAAAAAAAAAAAAAAACCCAAUAUGAAUAUACGAGGAACUUAAGUUUACACCAAUGUGACAUCAACGCAAACACAGAGAUAGCUAUAUAAUGGUCUAUCUUCAGUCUUCAACAGUAGACAAAACUCGUAAAGCAUAUAAUAAAAAAAAAAACUUAUUCAACUUAAAACUUAACCUGACCCAAACCACAUCGGAAAGAAUGCAAUAUAUGUUAUCUAGAUAGGGAAACUGAUCAUACAGGAAACCUUCAGAUUAGAAAUUAAUAUAAGGUGGUUAGGGAAUGGUAAUUGUUACG